CCUUAAAACUGCCAAGGUCGAGAAGUGCCCUUGACCGGUGCGUAGGGAUCCGCUGUGCAUCCCUCCGCUCUCGCUGCAGGGAGAUGGCUCAGCGACUUCUUCUGAGGAGGUUCCUGACCUCCAUAAUCUCCGGGAAGCCCUCUCAGAGUCGGUGGGCACCCCUUGCCUCCAGGGCCCUGCAGACCCCACAGUACAGUCCUAGUUACCUGGCAGGAACACCCAGCCAAGCCCGGUCUAUAUACACCACCAGAGUCUGUUCAACAACCUUUAACAUCCAGGAUGGACCUGACUUUCAAGACCGAGUUGUCAAUAGUGAGACACCAGUGGUUGUGGAUUUCCAUGCACAGUGAGUCCUGGGGGUUCGUGGAAGACUGGGGUAUCACUUAUUCAGAUAUUUGUUUAUUGAGAGGCUUCUGUGUCUCAGUACUCCAUUUGAUACUUCUCAUACAUGNAGGUGUCAGCUGUACCCACCGUACUGGCCAUGAAGAAUGGGGACGUGGUGGACAAGUUUGUGGGGAUCAAGGAUGAAGACCAGCUGGAGGCCUUCCUGAAGAAGCUGAUUGGCUGACAAGCAGGGACGCAUCCUGACUGCCCCUGCCUGCUGGGGCCCCAAGGCGCCAGAGCAGCGGACACGUGUUGGGCUAUGAGCAUCCUGCAGGCCCUUGAUUCUGGAAGGCUCAAGACACUACCCUCCCUCACCAUUAGCUGGCCCUUUGGUUCUCUGAGGCUUCACUGUGAAAAAAAACUGGACCAAUAAAGCUAGGGUUUGCACUGUCA
Molecule: non-coding RNA, 777 nt
Organism: Odocoileus virginianus texanus
Lineage: Eukaryota; Metazoa; Chordata; Mammalia; Artiodactyla; Cervidae
Source: RefSeq, a predicted model, not a curated record